CAUUUUUCCAUGACAUAGCUGUAUAGCUUGUAAAUCAGCCACAAUAAUUCAUUCAACAGAAUAUAAUAAGAUAUUUGAUGUGAAGACAGGCCAGUCAUUAGCAGAAAGAGCUGAUACUUUUAUUAACUGUAUAAUGUCAGUAGUUGAUGUGUGUCCUGAUCAGCUUGAGGUGUUUCUAAAUAUUGUAAUGAACAAGGGAAACAUUGCUUUUGUGAGGAUAGCUGAACUAAUCUCUCAGUGUUUUAAUGGAGAAGUACCUGAACAGUGUUGCAUAAAAUUGAAUAGGCAAUGAGAAGCAGACUAUAUUUUUAGAUAUUUUACAUGUUCUUAUUAAUUUCUUUAACUUAUUUUUAAUCUAGCACAAAACAAGAGGUACAGGGUCUUGGUCAAA
This is a long non-coding RNA of Amphimedon queenslandica, 391 nucleotides long. RefSeq lists it as uncharacterized. The record is from RefSeq and is a predicted model, not a curated record. Lineage: Eukaryota; Metazoa; Porifera; Demospongiae; Haplosclerida; Niphatidae. The transcript has 2 exons.